This 77-nucleotide transfer RNA is filed under the name Pseudomonas aeruginosa. RNAcentral's name for it is "partial Val tRNA". It matches the Rfam family "tRNA". From Rfam's summary of the family: Transfer RNA (tRNA) molecules are approximately 80 nucleotides in length. Their secondary structure includes four short double-helical elements and three loops (D, anti-codon, and T loops). The record is from RNAcentral. RNAcentral also lists the same sequence under 2 other names. Lineage: Bacteria; Pseudomonadati; Pseudomonadota; Gammaproteobacteria; Pseudomonadales; Pseudomonadaceae.
GGCACGUAGCUCAGUUGGUUAGAGCACCACCUUGACAUGGUGGGGGUCGUUGGUUCGAAUCCAAUCGUGCCUACCAA